GGCGUGUCGUCAACAGCAUGGCGGCGUGAUUUAUCGUGAGCGUCCUAUUUCAAUGUAGCUAGAUGUGGCGUAUUCCAAUCUGUUUUCGUUUUGGCCGUAAGAUCCACUGCGUUCAGUCAUUGCAAGCUGUGUAAACGAUCUAUCAGACAGCAAGCUACAUGAACAAGUAGCCUCUCAGCUUUAAUUUAUGAACUACAGUAUAUAUCUGCGGACUACAAUACUUGGUGAAUGCUUUCUUUCACAUGAGAUUGAUAAAAUGCAUUACAGAAUGAAUUCUAGAUGAAUCGGUAUACGUCGUCGUGGAUCAAAAACCAUCAUGGAUUUAGCGAAGUUGAGAAUGUGUAUCCGGUAUUUAUUUGGACAUUGUCUGCUCUGAAAGACUGGUUUUAUAUAAACAAGUAUAAAGACUGGCGCUAAAUGAGG
Molecule: non-coding RNA, 423 nt
Organism: Paramuricea clavata
Lineage: Eukaryota; Metazoa; Cnidaria; Anthozoa; Malacalcyonacea; Plexauridae
Source: the annotation of a GenBank genome assembly